Molecule: unclassified non-coding RNA, 1345 nt
Filed under: Hevea brasiliensis (rubber tree)
Lineage: Eukaryota; Viridiplantae; Streptophyta; Magnoliopsida; Malpighiales; Euphorbiaceae
Source: RNAcentral
GAAAAUGAAAAAUCAAGAAAAGCUAUGUUAUGAAAAUUAGUAAGCUACUGCUCAAUUUGUACAGUUACAUGACGAAUCUUGUAUGUUUUUUCACAGUAGUCCCUAAUCCUGUUGAGUACUUCAGUAGAGCUGGCUCCAGGCUCAGCUACUACAUGGCAAGACAACACUAACUUCCCUACUGUGAUAGCCCAAAUAUGCAGGUCAUGAAUAUCUUGUACUCCUUCUAUACACUUUAGACUACUCUCCACCCCGCAAACACUCAUCUGAUGGGGAGUCUUCUCCAUUAGUAUGCUAAAUACGUCCAUAAGCAUGGGUAUGGUUGAGCAUAGAACAAAAGCAGAGAAGACAAGGGUGCAAAUUAGAUCAACCACCAACCAAUCAGGCUUCACCCAUAUAACUACUCCAGCAAACAUCACCCCAACGGAUUGAAUUAGAUCAGCCAUGACAUGUAGAUAAGCUCCUUGGAUAUUUAUGUUUAAUAUUUUUCUUUUUGCUGGAGAACUUGGUAUCAACUUGGUCCCCUCUUCAUUUACCCCACAUAAAUCCUCACCGUCAUGACUGUGAAUGUGAUCAUGAUUAUGAUCAUGGCAAGCAUGAUGAGAGUGAUCAUGACCCAACCAUAUUACCAUGACUAAGUUAAUGAUGAAUCCAAAGGCUGCAAUUGCAAACAUGAGUCCUCCAUUUACCUCUAAAUUUUUGUGAAGAAUUCUGUUCACUGCUUCGUAAAUUAAGAUCCCUGAGAUCACCCAUAUAAGCUGCACAGAUAGAAGAGCACCUAAAACUUCAAGGCGACUGAAUCCAAAACUAUGGUGGGAUGUUGCCUCCCAACCUGAAGCCCAGACUGUGAAAAGAGAGACACAGAAACCAGCUACAUCAGUCAGUAAAUGUGCUGCAUCUGUAAUAACUGCAAGGCUGUUGGCUUUCAGGCCACCGAUGAUUUCUACUGCCAUGACUAUUAAAUAAAAUAUUAUAAGUCCAGAAAGUUUUGUCACCGACUUUGAUCUUUCUUCAGAUUCAAGACUAUCAUUUUCUUGUUUGGAGAAUGCACAAAUGGAAAUGCAAGAAAACUGAGCUGUAACGGGAAAGCCAGCACUUUCUUCAGAUGCUAUGGCCAUCUCAAUAUUCUUCUGGUGUCCCAACUGCAAAAUGGGAACUUCAUCAUCUUCCAUCUGUAAACCGGAUGAAAGAACUGCGAAAAGACUCUGAAGUAAUCGAUCUGCUAACAAGUUCUUAUAAUGAAAGUACAGCGAGUGAUUGCGGUGCUUUCCAUAUUUCCCUUGUUCGACUUCUUGUACAAGAGAGGCCGGCAGCAAAGAACCUUUCAUUCAAGAAAAACGGAAACUCU